RNAcentral lists this ribosomal RNA (82 nucleotides) under uncultured archaeon A07HR67. The record is from RNAcentral.
GAAGGCGGCCAGAGCGGUGGGGCGACACCCGUACCCAUUCCGAACACGGAAGUUAAGCCCACCAGCGUACCGGGAAGUACUG